RNAcentral lists this microRNA (22 nucleotides) under Chrysemys picta (Painted turtle). RNAcentral describes it as "cpi-miR-9596-3p". The record is from miRBase by way of RNAcentral. Lineage: Eukaryota; Metazoa; Chordata; Testudines; Emydidae.
CUGGGCUACAACUAGAAGGAAG